AACUUUUCAGCUAGAGUAUGAUAGAGGAAAGCAGAAUUUCUAGUGUAGAGGUGAAAUUCGUAGAUAUUAGAAAGAAUACCAAUUGCGAAGGCAGCUUUCUGGAUCAUUACUGACACUGAGGAACGAAAGCAUGGGUAGCGAAGAGGAUUAGAUACCCUCGUAGUCCAUGCCGUAAACGAUGUGUGUUAGACGUUGGAAAUUUAUUUUCAGUGUCGCAGGGAAACCGAUAAACACACCGCCUGGGGAGUACGACCGCAAGGUUAAAACUCAAAUGAAUUGACGGGGACCCGCACAAGUAGUGGAGCAUGUGGUUUAAUUCGAAGAUACGCGCAGAACCUUACCAACACUUGACAUGUUCGUCGCGACUCUAAGAGAUUAGAGUUUUCGGUUCGGCCGGACGAAACACAGGUGCUGCAUGGCUGUCGUCAGCUCGUGUCGUGAGAUGUUGGGUUAAGUCCCGCAACGAGCGGCAACCCCUCACUUUUAGUUGCCAUCAUUAAGUUGGGCACUCUGAAAGAACUGCCAGUGAUAAGCUGGGAGGAAGGUGGGGAUGACGUCAAGUCCUCAUGGGCCCUUACGUGUUGGGGCUACACACGUGCUACAAUGGUAUCUACAACAGGAAGCAAGACUGCGAAGGUUAAGCAAAUCCCUAAAAGAUACCUCAGUUCGGAUUGCACUCUGCAACUCGAGUGCAUGAA
RNAcentral lists this ribosomal RNA (698 nucleotides) under uncultured bacterium. RNAcentral describes it as "bacterial SSU rRNA". It matches the Rfam family "Bacterial small subunit ribosomal RNA", at positions 631 to 1324 of the family's 1533-position model. The record is from RNAcentral.